RNAcentral lists this unclassified non-coding RNA (1435 nucleotides) under Portunus trituberculatus (swimming crab). RNAcentral describes it as "e3 ubiquitin-protein ligase RNF185-like, transcript variant X3". The record is from RNAcentral. Lineage: Eukaryota; Metazoa; Arthropoda; Malacostraca; Decapoda; Portunidae.
AUGAAGCCCCAAGUCAUCUAUCGCUCUGCCAAGCCUAGAGCAUACAGGAAUUGCAAUAUGAACCAGCUUAAUGUUUAUUGGGCCAGUAAUAAGAAGGCUUGGGUCACGUCGGCACUGUGCACUGACUGGUUUGACAAUCAUUUUGUCCCUGAUGCCCAGAGUUAUUGGAAGAGGAAGAAUUUAGAUUUCAAGGUGCUGCUAUGUAUGGAUAAUGCUCCGGGGCAUGGUAAAUUCCUAAUAGGGCGUCAUCCUAAUGUAGAAGUUAUUUUCCUCCCGCCUAAUACAACAUCACUUUUACAGCCGCUUGAUAAAGAGUUCAUCUGCAACGUCAAGCUCUUUUAUUAUCAGUCUCUCUAUGAUGACAUGCGUGUCAAGACUGACUCGCUGCAAGAACUAGAGAGGAUUCAGGUUGAGCUAAGUGUACGUGACCAGGAUGAGCCCGAUGAACCGAUCGCCAGCACCAGUUUAGACCCACCACCAUCUCAGACCCGAGAAGUGUUAACUGUGAACCAGUUUUGGAAAAACUACAAUAUUAAGGAUGCUGUUGACUGCAUUGUGAAGGCCUGGCAGAAAAUAAACAAAGCUACAGUGUUACACUCUUGGAAGUUUUUGUUAGGUGAGGUCGGAACAGCUGUGCGUGAGCGCCAGCAGGAAGCCACCACACUCUCGCAGACUGUAGAAGCUGCACGUCUGAUCCCUGCACCUGGCUUUUCGGCUGUGGAGGCCAGUGACUUGCAAGAAAUUAUUGGUAUCCAUCAAGAGGAGGCUACUAUUGAGGAGAUGCUUGAGGAAGAUGAAGCUCAAGAAGAUCCUGAAGAGGAUGGACAGCAGGAGCAAAAUGUUCAGCCAGGCAAACCGACAACUGGGCAACUGACGGAGAUUCUCACCACCUUCUCACGGCUGACUGAACAACUGGAAGAAUAUGACAGGCGCCCAUAUCCACGCAGCAUAUUACAGCCAUCUCUUGAUCAAGUGAUGAACAUUUAUAAAGACCUCUACAUGUCUCCUGUUAAUGCUCGCCACCAGUCACUGAUCACAGGAUACUUCAGUCAAUCACAGGCUGUCAAUGCUCUGGCUAACGUAACAGCUGAACCAGGUGAAAAUGAAGAGGAUGUCGACGACCUGCUGGGCCUUUUACAGGAAGAUGACAUCGCUCUGGAUUUUGAUGGCUUUGAAGCUGAGGUUGCACUCAGUGCUGGGGGUGAUGCACAAACAGUGGAGGAGGGAGCAAGUAGCCAGUAGUCACGGCUCCCCACCACUACCACGCCAGGCCACUCAAGCCAGUCACAGACUCUCGUAACAUUUUUGAUGAGUAAAGCAGUCCCCCAAACUCUUUGUGUGAGUUACAGAAAAAAUCCACAGCAUGGCAGCAGCUGGACCAAGUAGCAACAGCAGCCACAGUGAGAGCAGCAAUAAUGCAUCAGGAGGUGCUGAG